UGCAGGCUGUCUGCGCAGCGUGACGUGGUGAAGCUGGUUAGCAGUUUGCGGCCUACAGCGUUGUGUAAAUGUAGACGAAGAUGAUGACGACCAGGUUGAGAAUAGUUCCUAUGAUGCCCAGCAUGGCCAAGAUGCUCUCCUCCUUACUUUCCUUGUCUUGAAUUCCCUUUUCCUCAUCACUGUAGACAGCGUUUACCAUUUUCCCCGCAAAAGUCUUCAGUUUUUGACUCGGACCGAUCUGGAGCAGAAGCAUAAAAAAAAUUAAACACAAAUCAUGUUUAGAAGAUGAACGCUGACUGGUUUUAAAGAAGAGAAGGAGGAGGAGAAAGAGGAGGCGGCGGUGGCUGGUGAAGGAACCAGUCGGCUCACGCUGACGCCGUCCUGGUUGCUUUCCGUCCACAGGCCAGAGGUUUGAAUGGGAGCGCUGCAGGAUAACAGGAGGAUCUGAGUGAACCGGAGGGAACGGGCAGAGGGAGGCGACUACUGGGACACGGAAAAGAGUCAGCAACAGAUGCUGAGCACAAGAAAAAGGAUUUAAAGAAAUUCUCCUUCAGAGAAUCGACAGAGAGGAAGAAGUGAGUUGAAGAAUCGAUGCUGUGAUUCGUCUGUCUGGAAACCGGGUCAGAUUAUCCAACAUUCAGGAAAAUAAAACCCAGAUGAUGAUGCAGGUGCAGCUCUGAGUCUGACCUCAUGUUGGCCUCAGUUUGUGAAGGAAAUCCCUGCAGGAGGUUUUCCUCGCUGCUGCGCUGCCUGUUUGCAGCUUCUGCUGAAAACACUAAAUUAUAAUCCGUUCAUCUGGUUAUUAAUACAUAAACUAAGGAAAUGAUUUAGUAAAACUCUUUCUUCUGAAAACAUGGAACAAUUAUCAAGUAAAAUAACCCAAUAGAUAAAAGAUUGUUUUAUGUUUACAGAUUCUAACGUGGUAGCAAACCUCUUUACUCUCAUACCUCUAAAUAAAAUCCAGUCCAACAAAAUGCUGAAUCAGUAACUGCAGUUCUGCUCUGUAUAAUGUGAAACGCUCUCCAUAGAUCUCAUCCUUAUGGAAAAAUGGAAACAAAACUAUUGAAGCAAUAGUUAAAAUAACAAUAAAUCCUGCUUAACGUUUGAGACACGACAUGUAGAAGAAGGUGAUCCGCAAAAACUGAACGAUUUAGCCAACAUGUUAAAUAGUUAGCUUGAUGCUAAUGCUAAUUAAUUAGCUCCAAACAUAGCAUUUAGCUCUGAACUAGCUAAAAAUGUUGUUUGUUAGCUAGGAGCUAAAUACAUA
Long non-coding RNA from Gambusia affinis (western mosquitofish), 1267 nucleotides. RefSeq lists it as uncharacterized. The transcript is spliced from 4 exons. Lineage: Eukaryota; Metazoa; Chordata; Actinopteri; Cyprinodontiformes; Poeciliidae. The record is from RefSeq and is a predicted model, not a curated record.